RNAcentral lists this long non-coding RNA (988 nucleotides) under Homo sapiens (human). RNAcentral's name for it is "HSALNT0248432". The record is from RNAcentral. Lineage: Eukaryota; Metazoa; Chordata; Mammalia; Primates; Hominidae.
AUCGUAUUCCAUUUUAGCGUUAGAGAGAGCCCAAAUCCCACGUUAGACGUAAGUCUUCCAAUGGCUCCAUCACUGAUGCAACAUUUGCUGGAUGGGCCCAUGGGUGAUCCACAGGGAGCCCCUGGCUAUGGGGGAGAACAAGUCAGGCCGUCAAGCCUGUAGAGUCUGUGUAUUAUGUUUCACAUGGUGGCUGUUGCUGGCCCCACCUCCGCUUAUGUCCUUAACAUGCCUCAGGUGGUUCAUCCCUUUUGGCACUCAUGGUGCCCCCUGUGGGCUGAUACAGGAGUGAGUCUACUGUGAAGGCACUCAGUAUAGUGGAAAAAACAAAUAUCAACCUCCUGCUUUUUUUCAGUGUAAAAACUAUAAGCUCUAUGGGAGUUUCUGCAGAUGGUACCAUAAUGGCCUGAGGGAGGAGUAUCACAGUCACAGAGUAUUGGUUCUCUCACUGCAUAAGCCAUGGUUUUACCCACCUUCACAGGCUAAAGGUGCUUCAUAACCUUGUUCAUGUAUUGAGGUUCUGUUGGCUCUUGUAAUGGUAAUUUCACAUGUGGGCAGUUGUUCAUAUUGAUGUUUCUAUAGGGGUAUGAUAGCUGGAGAGGUCUGCGCCACUGUCUUGCUCUGCCUUGAUCAUUUUUUUUUUUUAACAAGAAUUUGUCUCCUCCUAGUUUUUCUUUUUCUCUUAACCGACCUAGGUUUAGCCUUUUAAUCCUUCUCCCUCCUCUGCUUCUAAUGUCAUUGUUUCUUUGUAUGCCUAUCAUAUCUACAUGCUACAUGACCUUCAGCUGGUUAUGUAUAAUAUAUAAGACUUAAUAUCCUAUAAAAUAGAGGUAAUAAUAGCAUCUACUUGAUAGGAAAGUUAAGAAUAUUAAAUGACACCAUUGAUGUUAAAUGGAAGUAACUUUCUGAAAUGUAUUAAUGCGACAUGAUUCUUUGUUCUAGUCUUCACUUUAUAGACUAGACUACUUUGUUUGAGUUUUCUCUUUUCAGU